AGAAAGGAAUGAGGGGAGGAGGGAAGGAAUGAACGAAGGAAGGGAGCAAGGGAGGGAAACCCUGAUUCUAAGUGUCAGGCACAACCCUAGAAGCACAUAGCCAUCAUAUUCAAGUCUUCAUCACCAUCAGCUGUAACCCAGUGAGUUAUCAAAGCUUAUUUCUAUGUUACAGAGAAGGAAAGAGGCUGGCAGAUCCAGAGUGGGAGCUUACAACCACAUCCUUGGGUAGGCUAGGUGGCUGGGUGGUGUAAGGAUUGGGAGUUUCCCCUGACCCACCAGUUUUGCUGAUGCCGAAAGCCCUCAAGCAUGGCACAAAGGCCUUCCCUUGACAAGCAGUGAGAAAGAUGGAAAGGUAAUUCCUCCUGGGACCAUCCUUGGUCCUGUCAAGGGGUAGAAUGACCACAGACCUUGUGCUGGGGAUAGGCCUUGCUCCGGGGGAUACUUGGUCCCUGAGGAUAUGGGUUCUCUCUUCUUCCCAACUGGGGCCCAGGAGUCCUGGCAGGAGCAAGAGAAGGGCAUCAGCUGCUUUAGGAGCCAAUAGGCAGGGCCUGAGAGGCUGGGGGAAAUGGUUGGGAAAAGGAAAAAGUGGUUUCUGUCUGAGGGAAGUUUCCAUCUAGCGGGGAAAGUGUGGUCCUUUAGGGGCUCCCAAUCCAAUCUGACAAGGGAGGCAGGAGCUCUGAACACAAGGAGUCCAAGAAGGAUAAAAGAAAGAAAGAAAGCACAGUCCAUGCAUUCCAGGGGCUCAGUGUCUGGAGAGAGAAAGACCUGUUUCUUCAACACUGGCCGUAGACUGCCCCACCCCUGACCAAGCAUCUCAGGAAUCAAAGCCACCAACCCCGCCCUGGACUGUGUCAAGAGCUGGGGUGAGACAGACAGCCCAGCUCUCUCCUAUGUGCCUGCCUGUCCUCCGAGCAUCCUCCUGCAGCCCUUUCUGUCAGCUGCCCGCUCUGUGGAGGCCUGCAGCUUUGGCCAGGCGCAGCGGCUCUGCUGGGAGGCUGGUUUGCACUCAGGGCUGCUCUGAUCGGGCCCACCUUUCCUUCCCCAGCAGGAGCCUUGGGAGCUUGGGAGACAUUCCAGGACUGGCUCUGACACGAAUUUGCUGUUCAGUGCGCCAGGCGAUCAGAGCUGACUCCUCUCCCUUUUCCCUUGGAGGUGUUGAUAGUAACAGCAGAGAGGAGCUGCCAAGUUGGCAGGAGAACAGAGCGACUGUGCACUGCGGAUUGCGGUGGGGGUGGGGGUGCAGCAAGCUGGCGGAGGGCUGGGCCGGAGCCACAGUUUGUUUACCCUGAGAUGGAAAGGGUCCCUGCAGUCUGGCAGCCAGCAUCUUGCCCAGGAGGGGAGAUUAGAGAGGAAGGCGGAGGCCCCGGGGGAGCCCUAGGGCAGUGGUGUGGGGUGAGGCAUCUGGGAGGUUCCCAGGUCUGGGUGCUGCCAGAGUCGGUGGGAGGGGCCUUCUGGCUGGGCCUGAAGCCACCAGGCAGCCUGGCCCCGAGAGGCAUGCCGGGCCUCAGAGGCAGGACAGAGAUCCACCUUUGUUCCUGCUGUCCAUGAAGCAGCUUUGGAGUUUCCAAACAGGAAUGGACCUGGGGUGGGGAGCAGGCGAGUUCUGUAGCUUCUUCCUCCACAGAGGACCUUAGAAGGCACCCAUGCUGUCAAUCAAAUAGACCUGGGACCUUGAGCAAGUCAUUCAACUUCUUUGAGCCUCAGAGACGAAUAUCUACUUCAGAGCUUUGUGUGAGGAUUCAACAAAGUAGUAACAGCAAAAACUUAUCUAUUGCUUACUACAAGGCAGACACUCUUCUAAGAGCUUUACAUACGUGAAGGCACUUAAUCUUCAAACGACUUUAUCAGGAGGUUCCAGGGAAUGAAUCCGUUGCCACUUUCUGGGCAGCCAGAGCUACCUCCUAUCAGCUGUGAGACAGCAAACCAGAGCCAGGAGCCUGGAUUACCGACUGCUUCCCAGAAAUGCAUACUCUGUCAGAUCCCAAGGGGCCCAUUUACAAUUGAUGACAAGAAGUCGGAGGGCAUGGCUUGCCAAGUGAUGCCACGUCCGCACCUGGGAUCCAAACCGGCGAACCCCGGGGCGCCAAAGCAGAUUGUGCACACUUAACCGCUGUGCCACCAGGCCGGCCCCUGGACUGGCCACCUUUUGAGUGCUCAACAGCCGUAUGUGUUUAGUGGCUACCGUGUUGGAUUGUGUAGAUGAAGAGACUGCAUUUGAGAGGAACAAGAAUGGCAAAGCUGUUGCAGUUGACCUGGAAGAGUACAGCGGCCUGGGAAUAGUGACAAAAGGACAGAUUUCAGAGAUGUGAUUCCCAGGUUGUCAU
Equus asinus (donkey) is the source of this 2324-nucleotide long non-coding RNA. Lineage: Eukaryota; Metazoa; Chordata; Mammalia; Perissodactyla; Equidae. The record is from Ensembl.